UACGUAGGGUGCAAGCGUUAAUCGGAAUUACUGGGCGUAAAGCGUGCGCAGGCGGUUGUGCAAGACAGAUGUGAAAUCCCCGGGCUCAACCUGGGAACUGCAUUUGUGACUGCACGGCUGGAGUGCGGCAGAGGGGGAUGGAAUUCCGCGUGUAGCAGUGAAAUGCGUAGAUAUGCGGAGGAACACCGAUGGCGAAGGCAAUCCCCUGGGCCUGAACUGACGCUCAUGCACGAAAGCGUGGGGAGCAAACAGG
Molecule: ribosomal RNA, 253 nt
Filed under: uncultured bacterium
Lineage: Bacteria
Description: partial 16S ribosomal RNA
Rfam family: Bacterial small subunit ribosomal RNA
Source: RNAcentral